GAUGAACGCUGGCAGCGUGCCUAAUACAUGCAAGUCGAGCGAACGGACGAGAAGCUUGCUUCUCUGAUGUUAGCGGCGGACGGGUGAGUAACACGUGGAUAACCUACCUAUAAGACUGGGAUAACUUCGGGAAACCGUAGCUAAUACCGGAUAAUAUUUUGAACCGCAUGGUUCAAAAGUGAAAGACGGUCUUGCUGUCACUUAUAGAUGGAUCCGCGCUGCAUUAGCUAGUUGGUAAGGUAACGGCUUACCAAGGCAACGAUGCAUAGCCGACCUGAGAGGGUGAUCGGCCACACUGGAACUGAGACACGGUCCAGACUCCUACGGGAGGCAGCAGUAGGGAAUCUUCCGCAAUGGGCGAAAGCCUGACGGAGCAACGCCGCGUGAGUGAUGAAGGUCUUCGGAUCGUAAAACUCUGUUAUUAGGGAAGAACAUAUGUGUAAGUAACUGUGCACAUCUUGACGGUACCUAAUCAAAAAGCCACGGCUAACUACGUG
Molecule: ribosomal RNA, 497 nt
Filed under: uncultured bacterium
Lineage: Bacteria
Description: partial 16S ribosomal RNA
Rfam family: Bacterial small subunit ribosomal RNA
Source: RNAcentral